This 85-nucleotide transfer RNA is filed under the name Afifella marina. RNAcentral describes it as "tRNA-Leu". It matches the Rfam family "tRNA". Rfam says of the family: Transfer RNA (tRNA) molecules are approximately 80 nucleotides in length. Their secondary structure includes four short double-helical elements and three loops (D, anti-codon, and T loops). Lineage: Bacteria; Pseudomonadati; Pseudomonadota; Alphaproteobacteria; Hyphomicrobiales; Afifellaceae. The record is from RNAcentral. RNAcentral also lists the same sequence under 13 other names.
GCGGUCGUGGCGGAACUGGUAGACGCGCAGCGUUGAGGUCGCUGUGGGGCAACCCGUGGAGGUUCGAGUCCUCUCGACCGCACCA